GAUAUAACAGAGUGGCGACACUCCCAUAGACCUCCAUAGGAAACAAUGGCGGACGUUUUUUCAGGCUACUUCCGCGUUAUGGAGAGCUCAACAGUUCUUAACAGUGACAUUCGCGGAGUUUGCCUCAUUCACUUCCAUUGGUGUCUGCCUAACUUUGUCAGCGAUGCUGAAAGUGAUGUGACAAGACAUUGUCUUCAAUUAAGUGGUCCUUGACCAAGGAUGCAGAGGACAAGACGGGUGUGUAGUAUUGACUGAAAUGAUCAGAGAAGGUCAUUUUUUAUGGUUUAGGUCCAAACGAAGGGACCCUUCCAACCUCAGCAUCUCCAACACCUCCUGUCACACCUCCAGCCAAAUGUGCUACAUCUUCCUCAGUUAACCUUCUUGUACUGUAGGUGUGCAUGUCCAGCAUCCUUUGCACAUUAAUGUCUUUAGUUGUACACACGGUACGGUUGUUCAGAUUUGGGAAUCUGAAAUGUUUUUCAGAAUGUCUUUGAAAAUAUAAAUGGGUGUUAACCCUCCUUUUUAUAUUGCAGUCUCACCAUAUCUCCCUUAAGCCUUUUCUGUGUGUAUUCCUGUUCUUGAUGUUGUUAAAACAUAGCCUACUUGUUCCACACAUUGAAAAUGUAAUAAACAAAUGUAUUGAAAACUCAAAAUGUAUCAGUCAUCCUUUUUAUGCUGUUCUAAGUGCUUUCUUGAAACAGAUGAUUGCGUAUUGAGUUACAAUGUUAU
Sardina pilchardus (European sardine) is the source of this 729-nucleotide long non-coding RNA. RefSeq lists it as uncharacterized. The transcript has 3 exons. NCBI's taxonomy places the organism in Eukaryota, Metazoa, Chordata, Actinopteri, Clupeiformes, Clupeidae. The record is from RefSeq and is a predicted model, not a curated record.